RNAcentral lists this long non-coding RNA (297 nucleotides) under Nicotiana benthamiana. RNAcentral describes it as "long non-coding RNA (NBEN_LNC001717)". Lineage: Eukaryota; Viridiplantae; Streptophyta; Magnoliopsida; Solanales; Solanaceae. The record is from RNAcentral.
AAGCUGAUGUAUUUUUUUUGUUAACUCGAUCAAUAGUAGCCUCCAAAGUACAUUGAAGUGAGAUACUCUGCCCAGCUACACCUGUAGGACUCAAACCAAGAGUCUGCUCAUUUUGAACCUCUUCGAAAACCUUGCUGACUGCUUCAACUAGGAGAGUAUCAGUCCCUUUAGCAACAAUUAUACUUUGUACCCCUGCCGUCUCAAUCGAAAAUGGAAAACCCCUUUUUUUAUUAUAACUUCUCAGCUAUUUUACCAUCAUUAUACAGUAGUUCCUCUUCUCUUUGUACAACAACCUGU